This is a long non-coding RNA of Enhydra lutris kenyoni (northern sea otter), 2570 nucleotides long. RefSeq lists it as uncharacterized. The record is from RefSeq and is a predicted model, not a curated record. The transcript is spliced from 5 exons. NCBI's taxonomy places the organism in Eukaryota, Metazoa, Chordata, Mammalia, Carnivora, Mustelidae.
AGGUCAGCCCACAGUGAUUCGUGGCUUACCAAAACACAAACGUAAAGGCAGCAAGGGCAGCACAGGAGAAAAGGAAAAGAUGCUGGUGCAGCAAGAAUGAAACUGUAACAUUUGUCUUCUCACGUCCCUGAAAGCUGCGGGAACCACAAGUUUCUAAAGGACCUGGUGAGCGAAAAGCAUGGCUGGAGCUGUGUGAGAAAGAGCGCUACUUGUGGGGGCCGGGAGGAAUGGAGGUGUCCACAUCUGAGACCUGGGGAGUCGUGAGGAAGCCAGGAGGCUCUGCUGUGGAGGCCAUAGGGGAAGCUAGUUGCAGAAGACCAUAACUUCAAUCUGGAAACUGAAGUGAACACAGGAAGGGGUUUGGCCCAACAAGGGGAAGUUCAGCUUUUGUGUGCUGCCAGUGACGUUGCUUAGACGUUGUUUUCUGAUUGGAAGAGUGAGCUGUGUGUUGUAUUCACAGAAAGGGGUGGACAUCCCCCCAAAUCAUCUUAUAAGAACCUGAAUUUUAGCUGGUUACAUGUCUGUCCAGGCAAAGACUACAUUUCCCAGACUCCCUUUCAGCUAACGUGGCCACGUAAUUAAAUUAUGGCUUUGGUCGUGAUGUUUGCAAACUCCCAGGUAAACCUUUAAAGGAAACUACUUGCCUUUUAUUUUCUCUUUCCUCCAUCCCAAAGCUGGACCACGGAGGUGAUGGAUGGUGGUAAGGCAGGCACAGGCUCAGAAAGGUGGAACAUUCAUACAGAAAGUUUCUGGGUUCUCUAAUAGUGCCUGGAGUAGGACUCUAUCAUGCAUCUGAUGUGCCUGUCAGUUUUGACUUUUACAGGGGAGAAAAGUAAACCACUUAUUUUGUAUAAGCUCUUUCUUUUUUGGUCUCUGUUAAAGCAGCUUUACCAAUAUUCUAAUUUGUAUAGAUACCAACUCAACAACUCAAAUGUGAGUGCUGUUCCUGUUUUGGUCAGUCAGCACAGUAUCUUACCAGGAUACCAUAUGAUGGAAGGAAUAGAAAUUAACAUCCUUUCCUGUGAGUUAACCCUUGCAUUAUCCCCUCUUCUUUUUUAGGGCUCUGCCCUGUCCUGCCCCACAUUAUACUUUAUUCCCAUAUAAAAACCAAAGGUCAAGGCAAGAUCUGGAUUGAAAUUACAUUUAUUUAUCUAUACAAUGGGAUUUCUGCCAACAAUUAAAACCUUGAUUUUCUAUGCUGCUGAUGCUUUGUUUUAGGGCAGAGUAAUUUUCAGAUAGGUUUGUAUUAUAUAUACACGUAGCUAUAUAUGAUGCAUUCAUCCACCCAUCCAUCCAUCCAUUCUUUUCUGGAGUAAUUUGGCCAUGUAGUGUGUACAGGGAACUAUUCAAAUAAAAUAAGAACCAAUAUAUGAUAAGAGAUAUCAAAUGGGUUACAAUUCAUUGAUUCAUAUUCACAGAUGGAUGAACAGAACAAAUGAAAUACAACUUAAUCUUAAAAUUCCUUAAAAGAAAUAGAAAUUAAAAAUCCAACAUAAACCAUUGUUAUGAAUGACUUACCAUUUGGAAUUUCCUCUAUUUCUAUAAAUGUAAUGAUUGAUGCUUUUGUAGCAUAAAAACCAUAGCCCCAUGUGAAAUAUAUUGAUACAUUAUUAACUAGCAUAGGCUCUGUUUCUCUUUUUGUACCUGAAUUCAGUGUAGACAUGUAAAUGUCUGAUUGUCUGGCUGGAAACAACUGAAGUUGCAUAAAGGAUUUGCCAUUUUUAUCAUGGCACUAACUGGAUUUCAGAAGUUUUUUUCUACUUAUCUGGUUCUGGAGGGUGUCCCCAGCUACUCUUCAUACUGCUUUCCUGAAAAUCUUUUUAUCAGAGUCUUAACCACAUCAUGUCAAGACAUUACCUUGAAAAUAGGUGUUGAGAAGAGCUCAGACUAAACCUUGCUGCACUGCCAGCAACAUAUCUGGAUGGAGGAAUAUCUGCCAGAUGACUUGGGCACACGUAUUCUUUUUGAUAGAGGGGACUUCUUUCCUAGACGCAACUAGCUUUCAGCAAAUACAUACAGACCGUCUUCAACUGUUCUAAACAGAAAGAAAACCAAUAUAUUUCAUGCCUCUUUUCUCAGGGAGACACCUUGAAAUACCAAGUGAGUAAGUGAUUAAAAACUACCCGAAAUAUAAUUUCCGUUGGUUGAUUACUAAUAGCAAUCAUUAUAAUUAUCACUAACAGUUGUGAUAAAGGCCAUUAUAAGCCCUAAGUUCUAAAGAAGGGAUCAUUAUAGAUUUUAUUCAUCUGAGCCAGGCAAAUAUUCAUUCUCAAAGGAUAGAUGAUUACUAUUUCUCUAGAAAGUUUAGCUGAGAUAUUUUUAAAAGCAUCUCAAAAAUGGUUCAGCAUUUAUUAACUACCUCUUUCAGGGAAGAUGCUGUAGGAAGAUCACAUCUUUCUGAAGAAGGUGCCAAGAACAUAUUAGCUGCUAGUUUGAGAACCUUCAUCUACACUUCACAGCUACUUUUAGAAAAACAGUUGUAGCAUUUAUCAAACACCACCGAGAAAACAGUAUACAUGUUGGAACUCAGAAUUCAGCAGCUACAGAAAUCUAGCAGGUGUGAACUGGGG